CAUUAGUGAGAAUCCAAUGCCCCAAAAACCCAAGGUUUCCUCCGCAAGGUUCAUCCACGGAGGGUGAGCCAGGGCCUAAGAUCAGGCCGAAAGGCAUAGUCGAUGGACAAUAGGUCACUAUUCCUAUACUACCCCUUGUUGGUACGGAAGGACGGAGGAGGCUAGGUUAGCCGAAAGAUGGUUAUAGGUUUAAGGAAAGCUAGUUAUAUGAGAUCGAAAUCACUCUAUCUAUGAUAUUCAUUGCAAAACACUGACGUUUCCGCUUGCUUUCAACCACUGCCACUUUACCUGAGCACUGUGACGCAGUCAGUCAAGUAUUGAGUUUCUGCUAGUAUAUCAAGGACUUAUGAGAACUGAAAAAAG
Molecule: non-coding RNA, 363 nt
Filed under: Triticum aestivum (bread wheat)
Lineage: Eukaryota; Viridiplantae; Streptophyta; Magnoliopsida; Poales; Poaceae
Description: Bacterial large subunit ribosomal RNA
Rfam family: Bacterial large subunit ribosomal RNA
Source: Rfam by way of RNAcentral